AAAGUUAGAGGUUUGAAGGCGAUCAGAUACCGCCCUAAUUCUAACCAUAAACGAUGCCAGCUAGCGAUCCGGCUGUGUUCUUCAAAUGACACGCCGGGCAGCUUCCGGGAAACCAAAGCCUUUGGGUUCCGGGGGGAGUAUGGUUGCAAAGCUGAAACUUAAAGGAAUAGACGGAAGGGCACCACCAGGAAUGGAGCCUGCGGCUUAAUUUGACUCAACACGGGAAAACUUACCCGGCCCGGACACAGGAAGGAUUGACAGAUUAAGAGCUCUUUCUUGAUUCUGUGGGUGGUGGUGCAUGGCCGCUCUUAGUUCGUGGAGCGAUUUGUCUGGUUAAUUCCGAUAACGAACGAGACUCUAGCCUAUUAAAUAGGCGACCCGAUCAUUACUGUCGGGCGAUCUUCUUAGAGGGAUAAACGGCGUUUAGCCGCACGAGACAGAGCAAUAGCAGGUCUGUGAUGCCCUUAGAUGUCCGGGGCCGCACGCGCGCUACAUUGAAGGAAUCAGCGUGUGCUCUCCCUCUGCGACAGCAGUGGGUAACCCGAUGAAACUCUUUCGUGCUGGGGAUAGAAGACUGUAAUUACUUCUUGAACGAGGAAUUCCCAGUAAGCGCGAGUCAUCAGCUCGUGUUGACUACGUCCCUGGCCUUUGUACUCACCGCCCGUCGCUAUUACUGAUAGAACGAUUUAGUGAGGUCUUCGGACUGGCGCUCGGGGCGGCCUUCGGGUCACGCACCGCGGUGCCGGAAAGAUGACCGAACUUGACCGUU
Molecule: ribosomal RNA, 769 nt
Filed under: Mallos pallidus
Lineage: Eukaryota; Metazoa; Arthropoda; Arachnida; Araneae; Dictynidae
Description: SSU rRNA
Rfam family: Eukaryotic small subunit ribosomal RNA
Source: RNAcentral